Molecule: ribosomal RNA, 476 nt
Filed under: uncultured bacterium
Lineage: Bacteria
Description: bacterial SSU rRNA
Rfam family: Bacterial small subunit ribosomal RNA
Source: RNAcentral
GAUGAACGCUGGCGGCGUGCUUAACACAUGCAAGUCGAACGGAGAUUGCUAGAGAAGUUUCGGAUGGAAUUUAGUAAUCUUAGUGGCGGACGGGUGAGUAACGCGUGGGUAACCUGCCUCAUACAGGGGGAUAACACUUAGAAAUAGGUGCUAAAACCGCAUAAGCGCACGAAAUCGCAUGAUUUAGUGUGAAAAACUCCGGUGGUAUGAGAUGGACCCGCGUCUGAUUAGCUAGUUGGUGAGGUAACGGCCCACCAAGGCGACGAUCAGUAGCCGGCCUGAGAGGGUGAACGGCCACAUUGGGACUGAGACACGGCCCAAACUCCUACGGGAGGCAGCAGUGGGGAAUAUUGCACAAUGGGGGAAACCCUGAUGCAGCGACGCCGCGUUAGUGAAGAAGUAUUUCGGUAUGUAAAGCUCUAUCAGCAAGGAAGAUAAUGACGGUACUUGACUAAGAAGCCCCGGCUAACUACGUG